AUGAACGCUAGCUACAGGCUUAACACAUGCAAGUCGAGGGGCAGCAUGGUCUUAGCUUGCUAAGGCCGAUGGCGACCGGCGCACGGGUGAGUAACACGUAUCCAACCUGCCGUCUACUCUUGGACAGCCUUCUGAAAGGAAGAUUAAUACAAGAUGGCAUCAUGAGUCCGCAUGUUCACAUGAUUAAAGGUAUUCCGGUAGACGAUGGGGAUGCGUUCCAUUAGAUAGUAGGCGGGGUAACGGCCCACCUAGUCUUCGAUGGAUAGGGGUUCUGAGAGGAAGGUCCCCCACAUUGGAACUGAGACACGGUCCAAACUCCUACGGGAGGCAGCAGUGAGGAAUAUUGGCCAAUGGGCGAGAGCCUGAACCAGCCAAGUAGCGUGAAGGAUGACUGCCCUAUGGGUUGUAAACUUCUUUUAUAAAGGAAUAAAGUCGGGUAUGGAUACCCGUUUGCAUGUACUUUAUGAAUAAGGAUCGGCUAACUCCGUGCCAGCAGCCGCGGUAAUACGGAGGAUCCGAGCGUUAUCCGGAUUUAUUGGGUUUAAAGGGAGCGUAGAUGGAUGUUUAAGUCAGUUGUGAAAGUUUGCGGCUCAACCGUAAAAUUGCAGUUGAUACUGGAUAUCUUGAGUGCAGUUGAGGCAGGCGGAAUUCGUGGUGUAGCGGUGAAAUGCUUAGAUAUCACGAAGAACUCCGAUUGCGAAGGCAGCCUGCUAAGCUGCAACUGACAUUGAGGCUCGAAAGUGUGGGUAUCAAACAGGAUUAGAUACCCUGGUAGUCCACACGGUAAACGAUGAAUACUCGCUGUUUGCGAUAUACUGCAAGCGGCCAAGCGAAAGCGUUAAGUAUUCCACCUGGGGAGUACGCCGGCAACGGUGAAACUCAAAGGAAUUGACGGGGGCCCGCACAAGCGGAGGAACAUGUGGUUUAAUUCGAUGAUACGCGAGGAACCUUACCCGGGCUUAAAUUGCAGAUGAAUUACGGUGAAAGCCGUAAGCCGCAAGGCAUCUGUGAAGGUGCUGCAUGGUUGUCGUCAGCUCGUGCCGUGAGGUGUCGGCUUAAGUGCCAUAACGAGCGCAACCCUUGUUGUCAGUUACUAACAGGUUCCGCUGAGGACUCUGACAAGACUGCCAUCGUAAGAUGUGAGGAAGGUGGGGAUGACGUCAAAUCAGCACGGCCCUUACGUCCGGGGCUACACACGUGUUACAAUGGGGGGUACAGAGGGCCGCUACCACGCGAGUGGAUGCCAAUCCCAAAAACCUCUCUCAGUUCGGACUGGAGUCUGCAACCCGACUCCACGAAGCUGGAUUCGCUAGUAAUCGCGCAUCAGCCACGGCGCGGUGAAUACGUUCCCGGGCCUUGUACACACCGCCCGUCAAGCCAUGGGAGCCGGGGGUACCUGAAGUGCGUAACCGCGAGGAGCGCCCUAGGGUAAAACUGGUGACUGGGGC
This 1448-nucleotide ribosomal RNA is filed under the name uncultured organism. RNAcentral's name for it is "SSU rRNA". It matches the Rfam family "Bacterial small subunit ribosomal RNA". The record is from RNAcentral.